This 2223-nucleotide ribosomal RNA is filed under the name human gut metagenome. Its description in RNAcentral is "bacterial LSU rRNA". It matches the Rfam family "Bacterial large subunit ribosomal RNA", at positions 179 to 2496 of the family's 2925-position model. The record is from RNAcentral.
GGGAACCGCCUGAACUGAAACAUCUAAGUAGGGCGAGGAAGAGACAUCAAACGAGAUUCCGUAAGUAGUGGCGAGCGAACGCGGAAGAGGGCAAACCGAGAGUAGAAAUACUUUCGGGGUACGGACUGCUUUUAAGACUCAAUCUGUUAACCGAACGGCAUGGGAAGGCCGGUCAGAGAGUGUGAGAACCACGUAGGUGAAAACGGAGAGAGCUGCGCAGGAUCCAGAGUACGGCCAGACACGUGAAACCUGGUCGGAAUACGGGGGGACCACCCUCCAACCCUAAAUACUACCCAGUGACCGAUAGCGUAUAGUACUGUGAAGGAAAGGUGAAAAGCACCCCGGGAGGGGAGUGAAAAAGAACCUGAAACCCUGUGCCUACAAGCACCUAGAGCACGUCAAUGUGUGAUAGGGUACUUUUUGUAGAACGGUCCGGCGAGCGAUUGUAUGCAGCAAGGUUAAGGACUUAAGGUCUGGAGCCGAAGCGAAAGCGAGUUUGAAAAGGGCGUUAAGUUGCAUAUAAUGGGCCCGAAACCGGGUGACCUACCCAUGGUCAGGUUGAAGUGGAAGUAAAAUUCCAUGGAGGACCGAACCGACCUCCGUUGAAAAGGCGGCGGAUGAACUGUGGGUAGCGGAGAAAUUCCAAUCGAACCCGGAGAUAGCUGGUUCUCCCCGAAAUAGUUUUAGGACUAGCCUCAAGUUAGAUACCUGGAGGUAAAGCACUGAAUAGCCUAGCGGCCGAGAGGUUAGCGAAGCUUAUCAAACUCAGAAUGCCAGAGUAUUGAUGCUUGGGAGUCAGACAGUGUCAGAUAAAUGUCAUUGUCAAAAGGGAAACAGCCCAGAUCUACAGCUAAGGUCCCAAAGUCAGGUUAAGUGGAAAACGAUGUGAAGAUACGCAGACAACCAGGAUGUUGGCUCAGAAGCAGCCACUCAUUCAAAGAGUGCGUAAUAGCUCACUGGUCGAGCGUCUUUGCGCGGAGAAUUUAACGGGGCUAAACCUGACACCGAAGCUUAGGCAAUACAGCAAUGUAUUGGGUAGGGGAGCGUUGUAUACGCGGUGAAACAGUAGCGCAAGCGGCUGUGGAGUGUAUAGAAGUGAGAAUGCCGGAAUGAGUAGCGCGAAUGCAGUGAGAAUCUGCAUGGCCGAAAGCCUCAGGUUUUUGGAGGAAGGUUCGUCCGCUCCAAGUUAGUCGGGAGCUAAGGUGAGGCCGGAAGGCGUAGCCGAUGCACAGACGGUAGAGAUUCCGUCACCACCAAAAGAGUUAAGCACAGGGACACAUUUGAAGUCUCAGAGCCGGGUGUUGGUUCCGGUAGAGAUCGAGGGAAAUUAGUACCGAAGUCUGAGAUGGAAGAUGGCGAGAAAAGCUGUGUGUAUUUCUGAGGUGCCCGUACCGCAAACCGACACAGGUAGGUAGGAAGAAGAUUCUAAGGCCAACGGGAGAAGGGUUGUUAAGGAACUCGGCAAAUUGACCCCGUAACUUCGGGAGAAGGGGUGCUCCAGAGAUGGAGCCGCAGAGAAUCGGCCCAAGCAACUGUUUACCAAAAACACAGGUUUGUGCUAAAUCGAAAGAUGACGUAUACGAGCUGACGCCUGCCCGGUGCUGGAAGGUUAAGAGGAGAUGUGCAAGCAUUGAAUCGAAGCCCCAGUGAACGGCGGCCGUAACUAUAACGGUCCUAAGGUAGCGAAAUUCCUUGUCAGGUAAGUUCUGACCCGCAUGAAAGGCGUAAUGAUUUGGGCACUGUCUCAACAGCCCGCCCGGCGAAAUUGUAGUACCGGUGAAGAUGCCGGUUACCCGCGACAAGACGGAAAGACCCCAUGGAGCUUUACUGUAGCCUAAUAUUGGGUUUCGAUGUUGCAUGCACAGGAUAGAUGGGACACUGGGAAACAAUCGCUUUGGCGGUUGCGGAGUGGCCGUUGGGAUACCAUCCUUGCGAUAUUGGAAUUCUAACCUGCGGCUCUGAAUCGAGUCGGGGGACAUUGUUAGGUGGGCAGUUUGACUGGGGCGGUCGCCUCCUAAAGAGUAACGGAGGCGUUCAAAGGUUCGCUCAGCUUGAACGGAAAUCAAGCAAAAGAGUGCAAACGCAGAAGCGAGCCUAACUGCGAGACUGACGGGUCGAGCAGUAACGAAAGUUGGAGUUAGUGAUCCGGUGGUAUGUGAGUGGAAAUGCCAUCGCUCAACGGAUAAAAGCUACCCUGGGGAUAACAGGCUGAUCUCCCCCAAG